This 253-nucleotide ribosomal RNA is filed under the name uncultured bacterium. Its description in RNAcentral is "partial 16S ribosomal RNA". It matches the Rfam family "Bacterial small subunit ribosomal RNA", at positions 524 to 776 of the family's 1533-position model. The record is from RNAcentral.
GACAGAGGGUGCAAACGUUGCUCGGAAUCACUGGGCGUAAAGGGCGUGUAGGCGGGAAUGUAAGUCGGGCGUGAAAUCCCUAGGCUCAACCUAGGAACUGCACUCGAAACUGCGUUUCUUGAGUACUGGAGAGGAAGGCGGAAUACCUGGUGUAGAGGUGAAAUUCGUAGAUAUCAGGUGGAACACCAGCGGCGAAGGCGGCUUUCUGGACAGUAACUGACGCUGAGACGCGAAAGCGUGGGGAGCAAACAGG